UACGGGGGGGGCAAGCGUUGUUCGGAAUUACUGGGCGUAAAGGGCUCGUAGGCGGCCAACUAAGUCGGAUGUGAAAUCCCCAGGCUUAACCUGGGAACUGCAUCCGAUACUGGAUGGCUUGAAUCCGGGAGAGGGAUGCAGAAUUCCAGGUGUAGCGGUGAAAUGCGUAGAUAUCUGGAGGAAUACCGGUGGCGAAGGCGGCUCUCUGGGACGGUACUGACGCUGAGACGCGAAAGCGUGGGGAGCGAACAGG
This 253-nucleotide ribosomal RNA is filed under the name uncultured bacterium. RNAcentral describes it as "partial 16S ribosomal RNA". It matches the Rfam family "Bacterial small subunit ribosomal RNA", at positions 524 to 776 of the family's 1533-position model. The record is from RNAcentral.